UUGGAGGGCAAGUCUGGUGCCAGCAGCCGCGGUAAUUCCAGCUCCAAUAGCGUAUAUUAAAGUUGUUGCAGUUAAAAAGCUCGUAGUUGAAUUUCGGGGUCAGUAGGUUGGUCAUGCCACAGGUAUGUACUGAUCUUACUGAUUCCUCCUUCCUGAUGAACCGUAAUGCCAUUAAUUUGGUGUUGCGGGGAAACUGGACUGUUACUUUGAAAAAAUUAGAGUGUUUAAAGCAGGCUAACGCUUGAAUACAUUAGCAUGGAAUAAUGAAAUAGGACGUUCGAUCCUAUUUUGUUGGUUUCUAGGAUUGACGUAAUGAUUAAUAGGGAUAGUUGGGGGCAUUAGUAUUCAAUUGUCAGAGGUGAGAUUCUUGGAUUUAUUGAAGACUAACUACUGCGAAAGCAUUUGCCAAGGAUGUUUUCAUUAAUCAAGAACGAAAGUUAGGGGAUCGAAGACGAUCAGAUACCGUCGUAGUCUUAACCAUAAACUAUGCCGACUAGGGAUCGGAUGAUGUUAAUUUUUUAAUGACUCAUUCGGCGCCUUACGGGAAAC
Molecule: ribosomal RNA, 549 nt
Filed under: uncultured Glomus
Lineage: Eukaryota; Fungi; Glomeromycota; Glomeromycetes; Glomerales; Glomeraceae
Description: SSU rRNA
Rfam family: Eukaryotic small subunit ribosomal RNA
Source: RNAcentral